GUGCUCAUUUUGGCAGCACGUAUACUAAAACUGGAAGGGUACAGAGAAGAUUAGCAUGGCCUCUGAGCGAGCCAUGCAAAUUAAUGAAGCAUUUCAUAUAUUU
This is a small nuclear RNA of Phodopus roborovskii (desert hamster), 103 nucleotides long. The record is from RefSeq and is a predicted model, not a curated record. Lineage: Eukaryota; Metazoa; Chordata; Mammalia; Rodentia; Cricetidae.